CCUACGGGUGGCAGCAGUGGGGAAUAUUGGACAAUGGGCGAAAGCCUGAUCCAGCCAUGCCGCGUGUGUGAAGAAGGCCUUCGGGUUGUAAAGCACUUUCAGUGGGGAAGAAAGCCUUGGGGCGAAUACCCUCGAGGAAGGACAUCACCCACAGAAGAAGCACCGGCUAACUCCGUGCCAGCAGCCGCGGUAAUACGGAGGGUGCGAGCGUUAAUCGGAAUUACUGGGCGUAAAGCGCGCGUAGGCGGUCUGAUAAGCCGGUUGUGAAAGCCCCGGGCUCAACCUGGGAACGGCAUCCGGAACUGUCAGGCUAGAGUGCAGGAGAGGAAGGUAGAAUUCCCGGUGUAGCAGUGAAAUGCGUAGAGAUCGGGAGGAAUACCAGUGGCGAAGGCGGCCUUCUGGACUGUCACUGACGCUGAGGUGCGAAAGCGUGGGUAGCCAACAGGAUUAGAUACCCUGGUAGUC
Molecule: ribosomal RNA, 465 nt
Filed under: Vreelandella stevensii
Lineage: Bacteria; Pseudomonadati; Pseudomonadota; Gammaproteobacteria; Oceanospirillales; Halomonadaceae
Description: partial 16S ribosomal RNA
Rfam family: Bacterial small subunit ribosomal RNA
Source: RNAcentral